Molecule: long non-coding RNA, 771 nt
Organism: Anolis carolinensis (green anole)
Lineage: Eukaryota; Metazoa; Chordata; Lepidosauria; Squamata; Anolidae
Exons: 2
Source: RefSeq, a predicted model, not a curated record
CAGACAUGACAAGUGAUGGCCAGGUGCCUGCAAGAGCUCUGUGGCUGACAAGUCAUAGUGAUACUGCUGAUACAUGGUCAAAGGGCAGAAAUACCCCUGAGUAACCUGCCCUGCGUACAUGCGACCUCCUAGCUCAUGAGAUCAUAACCAAGUAUAUCACAAGGGUGGAUAGCCUGAAGGUAUUCCUGGAAACCUUCAAUGUCCCUUGACUGCAGCGCAAAAGAGAUGGCACCAUGGAUUGCUUGCAUAUUGAACGCCUUUUGAAUGAUGCUUAAAGCAACAUCAAUUUGUGCGGUCAUGAUCCACACUUUCACAGCAAAGCUCAUGUCAUCUACAUCAAGGAACACAUUUGCAGAGACAAAAAAGGUCAGCCAUGCGAACGAUCCCACUUCCCCAUAUACAAUCAUCACGUUUUCUUUGCCUUUCAAGAAGGUGUCUACAUUACUGAAGAAACCUUCAAGCAUGUCAUGUAAACCUAUAUCUUUUGGAAGAAUGACUUUAGAAGAAAUGCAGAUUCCGUUCUGCGAAAACAUCGGCUCCAGAGUUGACAAGAAAUGCUCCCCGCUUUUUGUUUCCUUUGUAAUGAUCCCUACCCAUUUCCAUUCAAAAUGCAGAAGGAGUUGGACAAUUCCCCAGAUCUGGAAAUCCUCGUUGGGGACCAUGCGGUAAAAGAAAGGGGCAUCUGUUUGAUCAACCGUCCUUGGCUCAAAUGAACCAUAAGAAACCUACAAGAAUAAAUAAAGAAAUAGUGCCGACGAUGGAACAAGGGUA